GACGAACGCUGGCGGCGUGCUUAACACAUGCAAGUCGAGCGGAAAGGCCACUUCGGUGGUACUCGAGCGGCGAACGGGUGAGUAGCACGUGAGUAAUCUGCCCCUGGCUUUGGGAUAGCCACCGGAAACGGUGAUUAAUACCGGAUACGACCACUUCUCGCAUGGGAUGGUGGUGGAAAGUUUUUUCGGCCAGGGAUGUGCUCGCGGCCUAUCAGCUUGAUGGUGGGGUAAUGGCUCACCAUGGCUUCGACGGGUAGCCGGCCUGAGAGGGUGACCGGUCACACUGGGACUGAGACACGGCCCAGACUCCUACGGGAGGCAGCAGUGGGGAAUAUUGGACAAUGGGCGGAAGCCUGAUCCAGCAACGCCGCGUGAGGGAUGACGGCCUUCGGGUCGUAAACCUCUUUCAGCAGGGACGAAGCGCAAGUGACGGUACCUGCAGAAGAAGCACCGGCCAACUACGUGCCAGCAGCCGCCGCCG
This 481-nucleotide ribosomal RNA is filed under the name uncultured bacterium. Its description in RNAcentral is "partial 16S ribosomal RNA". It matches the Rfam family "Bacterial small subunit ribosomal RNA", at positions 28 to 523 of the family's 1533-position model. The record is from RNAcentral.